CCUACGGGUGGCUGCAGUAAGGAAUAUUGGUCAAUGGAGGAAACUCUGAACCAGCCAUCCCGCGUGAAGGAUGAAGGGGCUCUGCCUUGUAAACUUCUUUUGUCUGGGGCGAAAAAGCUCGAUUUAUCGAGAACUGACGGUACCAGAAGAAUAAGCACCGGCUAACUCCGUGCCCGCCGCCGCGGUAAUACGGAGGGUGCAAGCGUUAUCCGGAAUCACUGGGUCGAAGGCGUGCGAGUAAGGCUGUGGUGAAAGGCUGGGGCUUAACCAUGGAAUUGCCAUUGAUACUGCAGAGCUUGAAUGAGGUUGAGGUUGGCGGAAUGUGACAUGUAGCGGUGAAAUGCUUAGAUAUGUCAUGGAACACCGAUUGCGAAGGCAGCUGACUGGACCUAUAUUGACGCUGAGGCACGAAAGCGUGGGGAGCGAACAGGAUUAGAUACCCCGGUAGUC
This 450-nucleotide ribosomal RNA is filed under the name uncultured bacterium. RNAcentral describes it as "partial 16S ribosomal RNA". It matches the Rfam family "Bacterial small subunit ribosomal RNA", at positions 338 to 795 of the family's 1533-position model. The record is from RNAcentral.